UGCAUCGGCCGGAAAUCGAACCCGGGGAGCCCGCGUGGCAGGCAAGCAUUCUACCACUGAACCACCGAUGC
Molecule: transfer RNA, 71 nt
Filed under: Cordylochernes scorpioides
Lineage: Eukaryota; Metazoa; Arthropoda; Arachnida; Pseudoscorpiones; Chernetidae
Description: tRNA-Gly
Source: RNAcentral